RNAcentral lists this unclassified non-coding RNA (1372 nucleotides) under uncultured Neocallimastigales. RNAcentral's name for it is "partial contains small subunit ribosomal RNA, internal transcribed spacer 1, 5.8S ribosomal RNA, internal transcribed spacer 2, and large subunit ribosomal RNA". The stretch from base 638 to 1372 matches the Rfam family "Eukaryotic large subunit ribosomal RNA", at positions 1 to 630 of the family's 3401-position model. The record is from RNAcentral. Lineage: Eukaryota; Fungi; Neocallimastigomycota; Neocallimastigomycetes; Neocallimastigales.
CGAAGUAAAAGUCGUAACAGUUUCCGUAGGUGAACCGCGGAGGAUCAUUAAAAUAUCGCUGAUUGAGAGUGAUUAUAAUCAUCUACCCUUUGUGAAUUGUUGUUUGAAUAAUUUUUUUUGAUUAAAAAAAAAAAUUAUUUAUGGUUUUGUCUAUCCUAAAUUGUUUGUUGUGAAAUGAAUCAUUUAGGAAUAGCUUUCUAAAUAAGUUUUUUUAAGUCUUAAAGACCUUUUUUAAAAUUAAACUUUUGUAUCAUUUGUCUAAAUUUUUUUAAAUAAUUAAAAACAACUUUUGACAAUGGAUCUCUUGGUUCUCGCAACGAUGAAGAACGCAGCAAAAUCGAUAAGUAAUGGAAUUGCAGAAUACGUGAAUCAUCAAUCUUCGAACCAUAUUGCACUUUUUAGUUUACUAAAAAAGUAUGUCUGUUUGAGUAUCAGUAAAUAUUCUCAUAAAAACAUUUUGUUUUAUGGUAUGAGUGUUUACAACGAUAAACAAGUUGUUUCACUUUAAAUUCAUUUUAAUUUAAGACCAUUUAUGUUUAUAAAAAAUUGGAUAAAAUUUUCCCGUAAAAAGGAAUAACUUUUCAGUUUUUAAUUAUUACCAACAACGUCCGAUUUAAAGGAAUUUAUUUAAAUAACUUGAUCUCAAAUCAGAUAAGAGUACCGCUGAACUUAAGCAUAUCAAUAAGCGAGGAAAAGAACUAACAGAUUCCUAGUAACGGCGAGUGAAGCGGAAGAGCUCAAAUUUGAAUCUUCAAGUUUACCUUGACGAAUUGUAGUUUAAGAAGUGUUUCUGUUAGAUGAGUAGCAAAGUUCCUUGGAAUGGACAUCAUAGAGGGUGAGAAUCCCGUAUUUGGUAUUCAUUCUAGCUUUGUGAUACACUUUCAAAGAGUCGGAUUGUUGGGAAUGCAGUCCAAAUGGUGGUAAAUUUCAUCUAAAGCUAAAUAUUGGCGAAGACGAUAGCAACAAGUACCGUGAGGAAAGAUGAAAAGAACUUUGAAAAGAGAGUUAACAGUACGUGAAUUGUCAAAGGGAGCGUUUGACACCAGUGUUUUUUCGAAAAAUCAAUUACGAAUGGCUUGAUUUGUGUGUAUGACCUUAUCACUUCUCACUUUUUCGAGUCUUUCUUAAUGCACUUUUGGUUAACAAGUCAACAUCAAUUUCUUUUGUUGUAAAAGAGUAUCGGAAGGUGGCUUUCUUUUCGGAGAAAGUGUUUAUAGCCCUAUACUUCUACAAUCGAGAGAUUGAGUCUGCAGCGUAGAUCCUUCGGUAGAUACAUUGUGCUAAGUUGUAGCUUUUCAUAGACAACUUGUUGAUAUGUUUAGUCAUGCGGCUUACUCGCUUAUGCUAUUUUACCUACGCUUAGGAUGUUGAC